RNAcentral lists this ribosomal RNA (459 nucleotides) under uncultured bacterium. Its description in RNAcentral is "bacterial SSU rRNA". It matches the Rfam family "Bacterial small subunit ribosomal RNA", at positions 329 to 793 of the family's 1533-position model. The record is from RNAcentral.
CAGAGCACUCCUACGGGAGGCAGCAGUGGGGAAUAUUUGCGCAAGCGGGCAGGCAAGCCUGACGCAGCGACGCCGGCGGUGGGGGAUGACGGCCUUCGGGUUGUAAACCUCUUUCGCCAGGGACGAAGCUUUUGUGACGGUACCUGGAGAAGAAGCACCGGCCAACUACGUGCCAGCAGCCGCGGUAACACGUAGGGUGCGAGCGUUGUCCGGAAUUAUUGGGCGUAAAGAGCUCGUAGGCGGUGUGUCGCGUCGGCCGUGAAAACUUGGGGCUUAACUCUGAGCGUGCGGUCGAUACGGGCAUCACUUGAGUUCGGCAGGGGAGACUGGAAUUCCUGGUGUAGCGGUGAAAUGCGCAGAUAUCAGGAGGAACACCGGUGGCGAAGGCGGGUCUCUGGGCCGAUACUGACGCUGAGGAGCGAAAGCAUGGGGAGCGAACAGGAUUAGAUACCCUGGUAG